Acanthosepion pharaonis is the source of this 94-nucleotide non-coding RNA. NCBI's taxonomy places the organism in Eukaryota, Metazoa, Mollusca, Cephalopoda, Sepiida, Sepiidae. The record is from the annotation of a GenBank genome assembly.
GUUGAAACAACGGCUCCCGUACGAUCACCGAAGUUAAGCAGCGUCGAACCUGGUUAGUACGUAGAUGGGUGACUGUUUGGAAAUACCAGGUGCU